AACGAACGCUGGCGGCAUGCCUAACACAUGCAAGUCGAACGAAGCCUUCGGGCUUAGUGGCGCACGGGUGCGUAACGCGUGGGAAUCUGCCCUUGGGUUCGGAAUAACAGUUAGAAAUGACUGCUAAUACCGGAUGAUGUCUUCGGACCAAAGAUUUAUCGCCCAAGGAUGAGCCCGCGUAGGAUUAGGUAGUUGGUGGGGUAAUGGCCCACCAAGCCGACGAUCCUUGGCUGGUCUGAGAGGAUGAUCAGCCACACUGGGACUGAGACACGGCCCAGACUCCUACGGGGGGCAGCAGUGGGGAAUAUUGGACAAUGGGCGAAAGCCUGAUCCAGCAAUGCCGCGUGAGUGAUGAAGGCCUUAGGGUUGUAAGGCUCUUUUACCAGGGAUGAUAAUGACAGUACCUGGAGAAUAAGCUCCGGCUAACUCCGUGCCAGCCGCCGCAGUAA
This 449-nucleotide ribosomal RNA is filed under the name uncultured bacterium. RNAcentral describes it as "partial 16S ribosomal RNA". It matches the Rfam family "Bacterial small subunit ribosomal RNA", at positions 29 to 523 of the family's 1533-position model. The record is from RNAcentral.